AUGAAAAAACAGGGGAGCUUGUGCUGACAGGCUGAGAGGAAGGACAUACCUUCGACCCUUUAACCUGAUGCGGAUAAUGCCGCCGGAGGAAGUCAUCAACGAUUUUUU
RNAcentral lists this non-coding RNA (108 nucleotides) under Firmicutes bacterium CAG:240. RNAcentral describes it as "TPP riboswitch aptamer (THI element)". It matches the Rfam family "TPP riboswitch aptamer (THI element)". Rfam says of the family: Vitamin B(1) in its active form thiamin pyrophosphate (TPP) is an essential coenzyme that is synthesised by coupling of pyrimidine and thiazole moieties in bacteria. The previously detected thiamin-regulatory element, thi box was extended, resulting in a new, highly conserved RNA secondary structure, the THI element, which is widely distributed in eubacteria and also occurs in some archaea. Lineage: Bacteria; Bacillati; Bacillota. RNAcentral also lists the same sequence under 1 other name. The record is from Rfam by way of RNAcentral.